Chrysemys picta bellii (western painted turtle) is the source of this 1832-nucleotide long non-coding RNA. Lineage: Eukaryota; Metazoa; Chordata; Testudines; Emydidae. The record is from Ensembl.
GAGCGAUGUAGGUAUCAAGUGCCCAGUAUCUGAACCAACACUUACAGAGUUUUGUUUUGUCUUUCAGAAUGAAUGCAUUGGUACCCUUUUCUUACUCACAGCUUAUCGGCAACAGCAAGUCCACUAGACAUGUGGGGACACCAGCCAAGCCACCUGCAACUCCCGCUGCACUGGGAUCCCAAGGCCUGGACGUCUAGUUCCAAAAAUGAGCAGAGCUGGCCCAGAAGAGAGUGGGCUUAGGAAAGCUGGGCCAUGCACUGAUGCAGCCCAUCUCCCAGGGACCCUCCCACUGGCUGUGUUGCGAUGGCUGGAUUUUAAAGCUACCCUCCCUACAGAAACUCUCCAGAGGGCACCAGUGAGGGAAAAGGGACACAUUUUUCCUCAAAAGGGAGAUUGUCCACCUGGGUGGGAGCCAGGCACAAUGAAGCUUUCUCUGAUGUCCACGGUCCACCUUCUAUCUUUGUGAGAAAGUGCCAGCUCUUCAGGGAUAAGAAAAGGGAAACUACGAGAGUUAAGGACCAGCUCAAGAAGAAGGAGGAGGGCAAUGAAGGAGAUGCAGCAAGAAACAGACCUUUGCAAAAUGGUGGGUAAGAUUCUGUGCUGAAUUUCUAAGAACCAUCUUUGCACCACUCUAGCCCUGGGAGCUUGCCUUAGUUACAGUAACCUCCCCAAGCUACCGCAUGGGCUGCAAAGCUGGGGGGCAGCCUUAAAGCUGUCUUCCACAGUUCCUGUAUUGCAGAACUCCUCCCGCCUUUCUGCAACCUUUACACCACUCCUGCUUUUUUACCAAUCAGUAUAAAGGGGCCAGAGCAGGAAAGAGGAUCUCACCUAGCCACCUGAAAGCUGAUGCUACUUGACAAUAUGACUUCCGCUAAAUAUGGAAGGACAGACCCAGAAAUACAUGCUGGGAAAAUGUCUAUAUAAGAGGUCAACUAUUCACUGAAGAGAGUUGGUAGAUGCUAAGCAGCCACAAAGAUUGAUGCCUCUAUGCAUUACUGCGAUAUCACAAUUAUUUUGUAUAAGAUGUAUUAUGACGCUGCUAGAAAAGAUAUAAUACAGUGCUAACUUCCUCUCUUUGAAACAAAAAUCAAUCACAAAGGCUUGAAGUGUUUGGGUCCAUGUUAUUUUUCUAAUCACUUAACUCUAAAGUUCAGUGCUGUAUUGACUUGUAAUUGAGUCAGUGUAGCUCUUACAAAUCAUUCUCAGUCAACUGAUUUGGCUAAAAAGUGAACUAGGCAAUUGGGAGUGUUUUUAAACUUGCCAGAAUCUUUAGUCCUUCAAGUCCUUGGAGUUUUGUGUGAUUUAUUGCUUAUAGUCAAAGUUUCUCCCUCAUCAGAUUAGUGGUGAUGACUACUUGAUAUUGAUUUUUUUUCUCAUCUGCCUCAUCUGCUUUAUGGACACUUUGCAGAGGCCAAGUUAGGUGUGACAAUAACAAUUUUUUUAAUUGAGAAUAAUUUUAGAGCUCAUUCAAAUGAGCGACUGUGCACACUAGACAGCAGUAGCUAUAGUUGUACUGUACAAAUCUGGCUACAAAGCUCUGCUAAUGCAUCUUAUAUCUGACUUGUGCAAUGGGCCUAUUAUUCUAGUCUUGGAUCUCUCUGAAGCAUAGAUUGCCAAACAUCUUUAACUGUGUGGUGUGUUUGUGAUGCACAGAGAGGAGAACUAGGAUCAUCCAUUUAGCUACUUCCACUUUCAAUUUCCAGCCACACGGAUCAAAAUCUCAUUAACCUAUAGACAAUGAGUAAUGCUCAACAAAAUACUGCUGGUUUAGUAAUGAGCUUCAGUCACACCAUUUUGGGUUGGAAUAAAUCUAAACUUUUAAAGAAAAUUCA